This 1623-nucleotide ribosomal RNA is filed under the name Anoplostoma sp. BUS21. RNAcentral describes it as "SSU rRNA". It matches the Rfam family "Eukaryotic small subunit ribosomal RNA". The record is from RNAcentral. Lineage: Eukaryota; Metazoa; Nematoda; Enoplea; Enoplida; Anoplostomatidae.
AUGGCUCAUUACAACAGCUAUAGUUUACUAGAUGCUGAUUGUUACUUGGAUAACUGUGGUAAUUCUAGAGCUAAUACAUGCAAUAAAGUCCCGACCUCACGGAAGGGAUGCAUUUAUUAGAUCAAAACCAGAUAGGCUUGCCUAUUAUUGGUGAAUCUGGAUAACGCAGCUGAUCGCACGGUCUCGUACCGGCGACGUAUCUUUCAAAUGUCUGCCUUAUCAACUGUCGAUGGUAAAUUAUGCGCUUACCAUGGUUGUUACGGGUAACGGAGAAUUAGGGUUCGACUCCGGAGAGGGCGCCUGAGAAAUGGCGACCACAUCUAAGGAAGGCAGCAGGCACGCAAAUUACCCACUCUUGGCAAGAGGAGGUAGUGACGAAACAUAACAGGACGGUCUCUUAUGAGGUUCGUUACUGGAAUGAGUACAGUUUAAAUCCUUUAACGAGGAUCUAUUAGAGGGCAAGUCUGGUGCCAGCAGCCGCGGUAAUUCCAGCUCUAAUAGCGUAUAUUAAAGUUGUUGCGUUUAAAAAGCUCGUAGUUGAAUCUGAGUCUGUUGACUGGCGGUCCCCUAGCGGGUGUACUGCUUUGUCAGGACUAUAUUCUGGUUUUCCUUGGAACCUCUUAAUUGUAGGGUCCUUGGUGACUGGAGAUUUUACUUUGAAAAAAUUAGAGUGCUCAAAGCAGGCUAAAAGUCUGAAUAGUGGUGCAUGGAAUAAUGAAAUAAGACUUCGGUUUUAUUUUAUGGCUUUCGAAACUCGAAGUAAUGAUUAAAAGGGACAAACGGGGGCAUUCGUAUUGCAGCGUUAGAGGUGAAAUUCUUGGAUCGUUGCAAGACGUACUACAGCGAAAGCAUUUGCCAAGAAUGUUUUCAUUAAUCAAGAACGAAAGUUAGAGGUUCGAAGGCGAUCAGAUACCGCCCUAGUUCUAACCGUAAACGAUGCUAACUAGCGAUUGGCAGGAGUUUAUUUAUGACUCUGCCAGCAGCUUCCAGGAAACCAAAGUUUUUGAGUUCCGGGGGAAGUAUGGUUGCAAAUCUGAAACUUAAAGGAAUUGACGGAAGGGCACCACCAGGAGUGGAGCCUGCGGCUUAAUUUGACUCAACGCGGGGAAGCUCACUUGGCCUAGACACCGGCAGGACUGACAGACUGAAAGCUCUUUCUCGAUUCGGUAAGUGGUGGUGCAUGGCCGUUCUUAGUUGGUGGAGUGAUUUGUCUGGUUAAUUCCGAUAACGAACGAGACUCUAACCUGCUAAACUAGACGACAAAUCUCAUUAAUUGUCGAGCUUCUUAGAGGGAUAAAGGGUGUUUAGCCCUACGAGAUUGAGCAAUAACAGGUCUGUGAUGCCCUUAGAUGUCCAAGGCUGCACGCGCGCUACACUGUGAAAGUCAACAAGCUCGAUAUCCUGCUCCGUAAGGAGUGGGUAAUCCGUUGAAAUUUUCACGUGCUAGGGAUAGGAAUUUGAAAUUAUUUUCCUUGAACGAGGAAUUCCUAGUAAGUGCGGGUCAUAAUCUUGCGUUGAUUACGUCCCUGCCCUUUGUACACACCGCCCGUCGCUACUACCGAUUGGACGAUUUAGUGAGGUCUUCGGACUGGGCCUUUCGUGGCUUAACGGCUCUGGAGGUGC